RNAcentral lists this ribosomal RNA (440 nucleotides) under uncultured bacterium. RNAcentral describes it as "partial 16S ribosomal RNA". It matches the Rfam family "Bacterial small subunit ribosomal RNA", at positions 338 to 795 of the family's 1533-position model. The record is from RNAcentral.
CCUACGGGAGGCAGCAGUAGGGAAUAUUGCUCAAUGAGGGAAACCCUGAAGCAGCAACGCCGCGUGGACGAUGAAGGUUUUCGGAUUGUAAACUCCUUUUGUUAGAGAAGAUAAUGACGGUAUCUAACGAAUAAGCACCGGCUAACUCCGUGCCAGCAGCCGCGGUAAUACGGAGGGUGCAAGCGUUACUCGGAAACACUGGGCGUAAAGAGCGCGUAGGCGGGAUAGCAAGUCAGAUGUGAAAUCCUAUGGCUUAACCAUAGAACUGCAUUUGAAACUGUUAUUCUAGAGUAUGGUAGAGGUAAGUGGAAUUCUUGGUGUAGGGGUAAAAUGCGUAGAGAUCAAGAGGAAUACUCAUUGCGAAGGCGACCUGCUAGAACAUAACUGACGCUGAUGCGCGAAAGCGUGGGGAGCAAACAGGAUUAGAUACCCUUGUAGUC